GUUUAAACAGCCACUUCACUGUUCAAAUUACUUAACUCAUUUUCUACCAUAAGUUUCAUUUGGGGAUUUAAGUAGAGUUAUAGGGUUAGGCCACUAUAGAGCAAGAAAUAAUUUUUUGUACAGUAGAAUAUUCCAGUGUUUAAACAGCCAUUUCACUGUUCAAAUUACUUAACUCAUUUUCUACCAUAAGUUUCAUUUGGGGAUUUAAGUAGAGUUAAGGGGUUAGGUCACUAUAGAGCAAGAAAAAAUAGGCAUAUUUUGGGAAUUUUUUUUUUAAAUGAUGGAAUAAAUCCCAAUUCCUAAUAAACUAAUAAACUCUAAAAAUUAAUUUUUGUACAGUGAUUCAAGUGAAAAUAUGAGCUCUGUAGCAUUUCUUAGAUGAUGCCUAUUUUUUGUAGGGCUAAGCAGCUCCUGGAAUUUUUAACUUAGGAUAAAAAACCAAAAUAUUUUCGAUUAUACAUGAGAACAGCUAUCGAACUACGUAGGAUAUUUUAAUAUAUUGAUUUUUGCAAAAAUGGUAUUUCAAGAAGAAAUCACCAGAAAAUUAUUUAUAACAAAAGAACUAUGAAAUAUAAUGAAAAAAUCCUACGUAAUUCGGUAGAGAAUUUAGUUUUGAAUAUACUGGUAAAUUUUCAAAUCGAUUGGUGAUGAUCUAUUUUGAUUUAUGAGUCCGGCCAGUUUGAAAAAUGCGUUUCAGGUUUUCAGUAAUGCUUGCUGCAUACCGGAAGGGGCUGCGGCAGAAUUCGGAAUUCGAGUACUUAGAGAUGUUUCCCACAUUUUUAAGACAUUAAGGCACCUUUUAAGCAAAAAAACAAAUUACGAUUUUUUCAAAAUUCUAGAGAGGCCUAACCUCAUAAGUCCCAUUUAGGAAUUUAAGUAGAAUUAAAAGAAAACCUUAUCUCUAUGGGUUGAUGCACUUUAAUAACCAUUUAACCAGAGAAGAAAUUUUUUAUACCAUUUUAUUCAACUAAGAUGUCAUAAAUAGAGAAGAAAGUUGGUGCAUUAGGAUUCUGCAUGUCAUUAGCUUAGAGGGAACAUUAUAAAAGAUUGAAAAACAAACUUGCUAGUAUGUAAAUCAAAGGAAAAGUUACCUAGAGAAUAUAAUGACCCCAGGGACCUGGUAUACUGUAUUAAAAGAAAAAAGGCACUAUGCAACAAGCUACGAAAGCGAGCUUGCGAGUGCACUCGAAACGUUUCGCCACAGCAAAACUGAUAACAAGGCAGAGGUAUACGUUCUGGCUGUGAAACAAAACGAGCGGAAGGGACGAGUCAAGACUGGUGCUUGCUGUUCAUUGUGUUCAUCUUGAAGAGGCCACGGAAUCAGUACAAUUUAUUUUUUAAUAUAUGCAAACUACGACACUUGGCAGAAACACGAAAUCAGCUAUAUAGGUCACUAUCUUAUGAGCGUAGAAUUAAAUAAGGAGGUAUUAUUUUGUACCAAAACCAUACGAUGAAUUUUAUUGAUAAAGUACCGAUUGUAAAUUAUA
Long non-coding RNA from Osmia bicornis bicornis, 1487 nucleotides. RefSeq lists it as uncharacterized. The record is from RefSeq and is a predicted model, not a curated record. The transcript has 2 exons. NCBI's taxonomy places the organism in Eukaryota, Metazoa, Arthropoda, Insecta, Hymenoptera, Megachilidae.